Molecule: long non-coding RNA, 241 nt
Filed under: Elaeis guineensis (African oil palm)
Lineage: Eukaryota; Viridiplantae; Streptophyta; Magnoliopsida; Arecales; Arecaceae
Description: long non-coding RNA (EGUI_LNC039496)
Source: RNAcentral
CACCGAAUGUUCCUUAUCUUUUUUUAUCAUCUUUUUGCUUAUUCUGUAUUUACAGCUGACUUGGAAGGCCUAGUCCUUUUAUGGAAACUUAGUGUAUUUUGAAGAUGAGAAAAAGAUCCCGAAGUCAACCAUCAUUGUGAUUAGGAUUUGAGCACUUGUCAAGAAUAUGAGCUUAUUUUUCUAGGCAUAUGAGAUGGGCUUCAAUUGGUGCAUCGCCAAGGUGAAGGAGUUCUUUCCGAAU